GGGCGCUUAGCUCAGCGGGAGAGUACUUCCCUGACGCGGAAGGGGUCACUGGUUCGAACCCAGUAGCGCCCACCA
Molecule: transfer RNA, 75 nt
Filed under: Actinomycetota bacterium
Lineage: Bacteria; Bacillati; Actinomycetota
Description: tRNA-Val
Rfam family: tRNA
About the family: Transfer RNA (tRNA) molecules are approximately 80 nucleotides in length. Their secondary structure includes four short double-helical elements and three loops (D, anti-codon, and T loops). Further hydrogen bonds mediate the characteristic L-shaped molecular structure. tRNAs have two regions of fundamental functional importance: the anti-codon, which is responsible for specific mRNA codon recognition, and the 3' end, to which the tRNAs corresponding amino acid is attached (by aminoacyl-tRNA synthetases). tRNAs cope with the degeneracy of the genetic code in two manners: having more than one tRNA (with a specific anti-codon) for a particular amino acid; and 'wobble' base-pairing, i.e. permitting non-standard base-pairing at the 3rd anti-codon position.
Source: RNAcentral